RNAcentral lists this ribosomal RNA (71 nucleotides) under Dryadella edwallii. RNAcentral describes it as "partial 26S large subunit ribosomal RNA". It matches the Rfam family "Eukaryotic large subunit ribosomal RNA", at positions 1 to 70 of the family's 3401-position model. Lineage: Eukaryota; Viridiplantae; Streptophyta; Magnoliopsida; Asparagales; Orchidaceae. The record is from RNAcentral.
GCGACCCCAGGAUGGGCGAGGCCACCCGCUGAGUUUAAGCAUAUCAAUAAGCGGAGGAGAAGAAACUUACC